GUUUGUUAUCAUCGUAUUAGUGAAAUUUACCCAUUGAAAUACAUUUUCAACAAGUUAUUAUUGGUGUACUAACGAUGACUUAUUGUGAGUCUCUUAUAUUUUUUUAUGGGAGUUUGUAUUUUCCCAUCUUCUCUAAAGAAAAGUUUCUUAUUCUCCCAAAAUCUCUAUUGAUGCUUGACCUUGAAUGGUGAAUCCUAUAUCUGAAGUUGCUGGUGCACUAAAACUGUGACUUUUGGCAUCAGUCAAAACUUUUUGUUAGUGUUCCCUUCCCCCCGUGGGAACUUGUAUGCUGCUUUGCUUGUUUUAAAUUCUUCAAAACAGAUCCAGAUGUGGUUUUGAGAUGUUCUAGCUCAGAGCUAAGGCUUAAAAAUUUGGUUUUGCCUAGGAGCUGGAGGGCCUGACCAGCAAAUUCUUCUGAGAGCUGGGGCUUAAAGUCAGCUCAUUAGGUUGGCAAAAGAGUCCAGGCCAAGUUGAACCUCUUAAAUAGCUUAAAUUGCACAGUAAACUAGUAUAGUAUGCUGUGCUACCCGCUUGGAGGUUUGCCAUGAUGACCUUAGAAACUGAAGUUUCACAAAUAAUUCAUAGUAUCUUGAGUGUUCUUGUAAAAGAUGUUUCUAAUUAUUAUGCAAUGAUUUUUGAGUUUUGCCUAAUGGUGUGAGGCAGCAGUCGUGUACAACCUGCCUUCAUUUGUGUACAAGCUCUCUGUAGGUCUGUCCGUCUAAGUCUUUGAUGGUUUUGAAUUAUUUUGAACAAAAAGUUAUGCUGUUGAAAGGUUUUUAGUUUGGUCUGAAGAAUUCAAAUUGACCAAAAGAUGUUAGACUGCAAAUACGAACUUGCAAAAAUAGCUUGAAAAUGCCUACUCAAUGACCUUGGAAUGUGUAAAUUUAUUUAUUUUAAAUGUGGCCAACAUGGUUAGUGAGAUGUGGUAAAUGUAGCUGUGAUUAAUUAUUUGCCACUGGUCUGUUCUUAAUUCACUCGUAGUUUGUUAUUUAUGCUCUGUAAUAUUCACAUGUUGGCAUUCUUUUUGACUUAUCUGUUGAAUCUCUUAUUCUAACUUGAGCAAUGUUGAAUCGUAUGUAUGCCCCCACCCCCUCCCCCUCAUCCCUUUUUGUCUGAUAUUCAGUUGUUACAAUUGUAUCAGGCAUCAUAUCUAUGAAA
Molecule: unclassified non-coding RNA, 1158 nt
Filed under: Hevea brasiliensis (rubber tree)
Lineage: Eukaryota; Viridiplantae; Streptophyta; Magnoliopsida; Malpighiales; Euphorbiaceae
Source: RNAcentral